UGAGGAUUUCUGAACGUUCGCUGGAGACCGGAGUGAAGACGUUGAUGGUCAGUAACAAGCAUUUUCUGUGAUGGAUCAUGACUUGGAAAUAGAGAUGGAGGUUACUUGUAACCGAUGAUCAUAUAUGACCCCGAACUGUUGAAGAAUCUUUCGCAAUUUGUUUUUAGUGAAAUGUAAAUAAAUGUGUAGUUGUUAGUUUUCGGUUUUUCGUAAGAUUUCCCCUUACGAAAAUUCAGUUUACACUGAAUUUUCGUAAUUUAAGCAUGGAGUGAUGUAACAGUUGGCCUGUUUGGCAAAAUUAUUUGUUUAUUUGUUUGAAUGUUAAAUGUUAUUUAUUUACAUUUUGCAAUAAAUUCCGUGUAAUCAAACUCCGCUUGCACUCUUCGGUAAACAUCUCUGUAGUAUUCACCACGGUAACUCAACCUGUUUUGGACCGAUUGCGGUAAGACCCGGAGAGAGACUCUUGAGAGAGAUGAGCCGAUCUUGAACUACCUCAGUGAGAGAACACCACAGCUAGACCCGAGAACACAGUUGCUAAAAAGGGAUGGGGAGUUCGCUACUUCUGUCGCACGCAGUUAUCCAGAGAGCAUCUCAAGGAAUGACGUAAUUCCGGUCAAACCGCUUGAGCGUCCGUUGCGACCUUCCCUAUUCUGAGGACUCCAGGGCUCGUUCACUUUGUCCCCAGCUAUCAACGAGAGUGGAAGUGCGCGUUUUGUACCGCGAGUUUUUGGCUUUUUGUACAAAAUUUUCCCGUUAGUUAGUCGUGUGUGCGCUAGUGCUAAAAAUUGUCUAAUUUGUGUGCGAACAGGAGAAAAGCAUUCGCCCGUUAGCAACAGCGCUAACCAUCCCGCAGCAGCACCAGUCCAGCAGCAGCGCGAACACACGAGCAGCAGAGCAGAGGAAAACGGAGACGAAGUUCCCCGCGCACCGCACUUCUCGUUGCGCCGAACGUCACCAGGCGAAGCACGAGGACGAAGAGCGUGAGCGCACGCUAGGCGGCGAUCCGUCAACACAUCGCCCCGGUGAAGAAGGGAGGGUCCCUGAACCACCACUGAAGGACAGCGGAGAUCGUUAGUCCCGGC
Molecule: long non-coding RNA, 1082 nt
Organism: Culex quinquefasciatus (southern house mosquito)
Lineage: Eukaryota; Metazoa; Arthropoda; Insecta; Diptera; Culicidae
Exons: 3
Source: RefSeq, a predicted model, not a curated record